This 235-nucleotide non-coding RNA is filed under the name Psychrobacillus sp. RNAcentral's name for it is "T-box sequence". It matches the Rfam family "T-box leader". From Rfam's summary of the family: Uncharged tRNA acts as the effector for transcription antitermination of genes in the T-box leader family. Lineage: Bacteria; Bacillati; Bacillota; Bacilli; Caryophanales; Bacillaceae. The record is from RNAcentral.
AACAAACCUGUGACCGAAAAAGUAGCUGUGAUAAACGGAUGACUAGAGAGGGAGAGACGCGGCUGAAAUCUUUCCUACAGACGAAAACAGUGAACAACAUUCGAGAGGUUUUUUGUCGAAAAAGAAUUCUUUAGUAGGCAAAAACGGGGCUGGUCGUUAUCCAGAAAUGAGAGGGUCAAUUGUUUGACCAACUAGGGUGGAACCGCGGAAGCUAAUAUUAGCUCUCGUCCCUUGC